This 63-nucleotide transfer RNA is filed under the name Ictidomys tridecemlineatus (thirteen-lined ground squirrel). RNAcentral's name for it is "Spermophilus tridecemlineatus (thirteen-lined ground squirrel) tRNA". It matches the Rfam family "tRNA", at positions 5 to 66 of the family's 71-position model. Rfam says of the family: Transfer RNA (tRNA) molecules are approximately 80 nucleotides in length. Lineage: Eukaryota; Metazoa; Chordata; Mammalia; Rodentia; Sciuridae. The record is from Rfam by way of RNAcentral.
GUGUAGCUCAGUGGUAGAGUGUGUGCCUGGCACAUGUGAGACUCUGGGUUCAAUUCCCAGCAC